Molecule: long non-coding RNA, 1178 nt
Filed under: Anas platyrhynchos platyrhynchos (common mallard)
Lineage: Eukaryota; Metazoa; Chordata; Aves; Anseriformes; Anatidae
Description: lncRNA (ENSAPLG00000020088.1)
Source: RNAcentral
GAAAGUAUUUCUUUUUUUUUUUUUUAAAUAAGAAUGUUUUAUCAUCACUAGCACCAUGUGCACCCAAGAAAUUGUUAGUGUUCCUGAUAGUUAUCCUAAAAUUAGAUGAAUCAGACCUGACAGAGAACUGCAGUACAGGGAGUGCUACAUUAAUUUCAACCACUCCUUUUUAUGUCCUGUCUAGCAAAACACAAACAAACAAAACAAUAAUCAAAGCACCCCCCCACACACACACCAUGAAUGUUUUAAGCAUUUUAAGAUGCAAAGUGUGUUGGGAGGAACAGCAGAAGGCAAGAGAACAAUGAAACAAUAAAAACUCUAUACUAACCAAAUCUUUCAACCUUAAAACAAUGAAAAGAUUGGGAGUUAGAAAAGCCAUUGUCUGCCAUUUGUACAGAAGGAGAGAGGGAAAUCAAUAUUUAUUUCUUGGAGAGUGCCAGCCCCAGCAUGUGGUAUUGAUACUUUCAACGGGAUAGAAAGGCUUUUCAUGACAAACCUUUCACUCUUCCACCAUUAGAGAAUCUGUGCAUUAGCUUGAAUAUUACCUGGCAACGUUGCUCUUGUUUAAUGUGUCCUUUUGGGGAGUUUUAUGUUGUUUUUAUCGAUGUUACCAGUAGAACAUUUUAAAUUGCUGUAGCUUUUUAAAUGCAAAUGAAUGAAUAAAUGAAAGGCUCCCACUGCCACAUGCAAACGCAUUUGCAACCAAAGGGUGCCUCAGCGAAGUCAUGCUGGCCCUGGGUGAUGGGACCUGCUUUAUCCACACCAAAAGCCUCAGGCAUUUGCUGUCUGCAGCACUUUCCAGAGAGUAAAGUCACCUGAAGGAAUAAUGUGACACACCCUUACAGCGCUCAACAUCCAACCAUCUGUGGGCUAUCCACGUGAAACUGGUGGGAAGAUUUUCAGCAGCCCUGGGAUGUUAUUAUCAGAGCAAUGAGGAAUUGAUUCCUCCACCCCUCGUUACCACCAGUCCUUCGAAGUCAGAUAUUGCCAAUCUAUGUCAAACUGGCUGGAGGCUUUUAGAGGCACACAAUGAUCACAACACAGCUGCCACAGAUUUCGUCAAUGCAAACAGAGUGUAUAAGGAUUUUUGUUGUACGAUAAAUAGUUUAACUAUCACAGACAGUGCAGUGCACAAAUAAAUAAAUAAAUGAGGUGACAAUCUAGAUGGUCUUAGAUAA